ACCUACGGGACGCAGCAGUGGGGAAUAUUGGACAAUGGGCGCAAGCCUGAUCCAGCCAUGCCGCGUGUGUGAAGAAGGCCUUCGGGUUGUAAAGCACUUUCAGUAGGGAGGAAGGGUGUUGUGUUAAUAGCACAGCAUUUUGACGUUACCUACAGAAGAAGCACCGGCUAACUCUGUGCCAGCAGCCGCGGUAAUACAGAGGGUGCAAGCGUUAAUCGGAAUUACUGGGCGUAAAGCGCACGUAGGCGGUUUUUUAAGUCAGAUGUGAAAGCCCCGGGCUCAACCUGGGAAUUGCAUUUGAAACUGGAAAACUAGAGUGUGUGAGAGGGGGGUAGAAUUCCAAGUGUAGCGGUGAAAUGCGUAGAGAUUUGGAGGAAUACCAGUGGCGAAGGCGGCCCCCUGGCACAACACUGACGCUCAGGUGCGAAAGCGUGGGGAGCAAACAGGAUUAGAUACCCGGGUAGUCA
Molecule: ribosomal RNA, 467 nt
Filed under: uncultured bacterium
Lineage: Bacteria
Description: bacterial SSU rRNA
Rfam family: Bacterial small subunit ribosomal RNA
Source: RNAcentral